Molecule: non-coding RNA, 92 nt
Organism: Dipodomys ordii (Ord's kangaroo rat)
Lineage: Eukaryota; Metazoa; Chordata; Mammalia; Rodentia; Heteromyidae
Source: Rfam
GGAUUGGUGAUGCCUCAAAAAAUCAUGUCACGAAAAUCUGAACAAAAUGAGUGAAAAAUCCCAUGACUAUGGGUUAUCUAUAACUGAAGUUC